Long non-coding RNA from Carassius gibelio (silver crucian carp), 742 nucleotides. RefSeq lists it as uncharacterized. The transcript has 5 exons. The record is from RefSeq and is a predicted model, not a curated record. NCBI's taxonomy places the organism in Eukaryota, Metazoa, Chordata, Actinopteri, Cypriniformes, Cyprinidae.
UGUGCCAAAGCUUAGCGCGUUCAUCAGUGGUGAGUUUAACAACACUCAACUGCAGGUAAAACAGCAUUCAGCGGUGAGUUUGACCAAAGCAACGCUCAACUGCAGGGAAAACGACAUAAAAAGGUGAGUUUAACAACGCUCCAAGGCGCGUGCAAGUAAGCAGUUUAACCGUUUUCUUACAACCCAUUUCGCUUAUCGCUUAUUCAUAGUUCAUCAUCUCUAUGAAAUCACGUUCAAGAAGUCUCAUUCAGCACACAUCGCGAUACUUGCCAUCAGUUUCCAUGUGCCACAGGGUCGCUGAAAAGAUGUAAAGGAAGCAGUCAUCCCUGUGGUGUUUGUGGAGAGGUUUUCCUUCAGAAAUGGAGAAGACUGAAAGCUGCGGAGGCAGACAUUUGCAGCAGAUUGUUUGCAGAUAAUGCUGUUCAAGCUCAACAGCUCUUUUAAGAGCUAACCCUCACAAACCUUCCUAAAAACUAAAAGAGCUAUUACUGAGUCUCAGCGAAUUUUGCCAUGAUCAGCUCUUCCCAGAAGAGAAGGAAGACCAAGGAAAUGAUUUGCUCAUGAGGAAUGAAGACGGCCAUCUUGAGCCCAAACAAAGACAGAAGUCCUCUGAUGAUCUCAUCAGCCAAAUGGGGGGUUUUGACCAAGUGAUGCUCUUGAAAGGACUGAAAGAAGAGGAUGUGGUAAAUUGUCUUCAGAGAAAAAGCUUCUCAAAAGGUCUUAAAACAGCUUGAAGAAUAGU